AAUCACAUCUCGUCUCCUUCCAUGAUUUUUUUUUUUAUAAUCGAGAGAUGUACUGUAUAUGGUUAAGUAAAGGCUGCAGUCUCUAACAGACCUCUUCCGAGGGAGCUUGCGCCUCCUGCUGGAUACACGUACAGCAGUCCAUUGCAAUCAUAGUCCCAGUAAACAAAUCCAGAAAUGCAAACACAGAGCAAGAAGAUUUCAAAUUUCAAAAGGCACAAGCACAGCAAAAACAGAACUAACUCAUCCGCUCCAUUCAUGGUGAGUCACCUGGAACUGUGGAAGACCCUCCAGAUUUAUAGGGUGCAUGUCCUGGCAGUGAUUGGUAGGUAGCCCUGCCUCUUGGGGGGACCACCCACAACACACAUGGAACAUAAUAAAGGCAGCUGAUAGGCACAGACAAAACCAAAAUUAAAGAAAGAGGCGCGUUAUCGAUAUGAACAAAAGAGGUGUAAGACGUGAAUUUGAACCCCAGCCAGAGGAGGAACUGCAUUAUUUGUUGUUAUUUUUAAAAUCUUUUUUAUUCAAUCAAAAUAACAGGAGAAACUGUAUAAUAAUAAACAGUCAUAAGAGAGUAAGAACCCAACCCACCCUGUGCCACCCUAAGCCAAGGGUUAAAUAUUUUGGGAUUGGCCAGUCACCAGAGCAGAAGAAGAUAAAAGGAUCAGAAGGAGACGGCAGAAGCCAAAGGAAAACGAGCCUCGGAGAUCAGAAAGCAGAGCAAGGGGGCCGCAGCAAAGCGGGAGUUAAAGCUCGCAUUUCAGUUGAGCUGCUGGAGGUGCAGUCAGCUCCUCGGAGAUGCCCAGCGAGGGGAACUGACUCCGCCCCUUCCAGGCAGGUCCUAUAAAACUGAUGUCUGGAAGCAGGCGUCUCAUUUUGACCCAAGCCAAACUGGAACACUGAGGUCCUCAAAGACUGACCCGCUCCACCAAGCAGUAAUUUCAAUAGAAGAUAAAGGGUGGAACCAUAGGAGGCAGGGCCACCCCGAUGACACCACUCCUGAGCCUUUCCUCUGACUAUUUAAAGCCAGAAAAGAAGAAGCUCAGGUUGCGGCUCAUUGUUUUUGUGGAGUUCUUGUGUUGGUCCACAAGAAGCCUACUCUACAUUGAAUGUUUUUCUUUUUGAUUCAUAUACAGUACAUUCUUAGAACUGCUAAAAUUCAGGUUUGGAAGAUGCAGAAACAUCCACACUAAUACCGGACAAUAAAAAAUCACCAAUGAAUGGCAGGUCUUUGAGGAAGAAAACUGAGGUACCUGAAGGACAACCCACACAAAGGCACAGGGAGAGCUAGCAAACUCAAGAUGGACAGCUACUGGACACAGGAGUCAUACCCAGAAUGCUGGAUCCAUGAAGCAGCAGCAUUGCCAGCAACCCUGAUGUUUAAUUACAGUGCCUUCAGAAAGUUAUCAGACCCUUUUAGUUUUUAGACAUUUUGUUAGGUUGCAGCCUUGUCCUAAAAUCAUGUAAAUUCACUUUUCCCUCAUCAAACAACACUCAAUACCUCA
This is an RNA transcript of Polypterus senegalus (gray bichir), 1502 nucleotides long. RefSeq lists it as uncharacterized. NCBI's taxonomy places the organism in Eukaryota, Metazoa, Chordata, Cladistia, Polypteriformes, Polypteridae. The transcript is spliced from 4 exons. The record is from RefSeq and is a predicted model, not a curated record.